RNAcentral lists this unclassified non-coding RNA (170 nucleotides) under plant metagenome. Its description in RNAcentral is "partial contains 5.8S ribosomal RNA, internal transcribed spacer 2, and large subunit ribosomal RNA". The record is from RNAcentral.
GGCCACCGUUGGGGAGGGGGAUUCGAUCCCCAGAACGACCUCAUAGUAGCCGAGGGUUACGGUGCCGAGGAGGGGCAGCAGCAUGCCGAACGUGAACAGGUACCAGGGCAGCGGCCGGUUCGGGCGGUACAUGAAGAUGCCGCUCGCGAACGCCGCUAGCGUAGAUAUGA